UGGGGAAUAUUGCACAAUGGGCGCAAGCCUGAUGCAGCAACGCCGCGUGAGGGAUGACGGCCUUCGGGUUGUAAACCUCUUUUAGUAGGGAAGAAGCGAAAGUGACGGUACCUGCAGAAAAAGCACCGGCUAACUACGUGCCAGCAGCCGCGGUAAUACGUAGGGUGCGAGCGUUGUCCGGAAUUAUUGGGCGUAAAGAGCUCGUAGGCGGUCUGUCGCGUCUGCUGUGAAAACCCGAGGCUCAACCUCGGGCCUGCAGUGGGUACGGGCAGACUAGAGUGCGGUAGGGGAGAAUGGAAUUCCUGGUGUAGCGGUGGAAUGCGCAGAUAUCAGGAGGAACACCGAUGGCGAAGGCAGUUCUCUGGGCCGUAACUGACGCUGAGGAGCGAAAGCGUGGGGAGCGAACAGGAUUAGAUACCCUGGUAGUCCACGCCGUAAACGUUGGGCGCUAGAUGUGGGGACCAUUCCACGGUUUCCGUGUCGCAGCUAACGCAUUAAGCGCCCGCCUGGGGAGUACGGCCGCAAGGCUAAAACU
RNAcentral lists this ribosomal RNA (535 nucleotides) under uncultured bacterium. Its description in RNAcentral is "partial 16S ribosomal RNA". It matches the Rfam family "Bacterial small subunit ribosomal RNA", at positions 355 to 901 of the family's 1533-position model. The record is from RNAcentral.